RNA transcript from Cylas formicarius (sweet potato weevil), 1208 nucleotides. RefSeq lists it as uncharacterized. The record is from RefSeq and is a predicted model, not a curated record. Lineage: Eukaryota; Metazoa; Arthropoda; Insecta; Coleoptera; Brentidae. The transcript has 4 exons.
ACCGCGUUGAUGCGACACUAUGAGAUGUUUUAUAACCAGUUUCUCGUUUCAUGUGCGCACAGACUGCAUAAUUACAAUGUGUUAACUUCUGGUUGUAAUUAACUCAAGAAUGAAAUAUUUUUCGGUCAACGUUUAACUUACAAAUUGGAAUAACAGCGGAGUAAGACGGGCCCUAUUUAACACGUACGUAAUUAACGAAGGUUCCAAAACAAAUAAGUGAAAACGUCAUCCCGGCCCAUGAGAAAUGACUUCAAUUUGGAUCUUCUUGGGAGGUGGUUGCCUGCAAGCCUAUGAGUAUUUCAGAUCAUCAGUCAAGGGAAUGGGCACUGCAGUCCACAAUCUUAAACGAUAUCACCAACUUAAAGAAUAAACUGCAAGAAGAGAUGCAAAAAGUUAAACUCUUACUCGAUUUUAACCAACACACGAUUGACAACUUGGAAAAGGAUCUUCAAAUAACGGUAACCAAAUCUAAGAGAGACGCGCUCUCACAUGGUAAUGACAUCAACUCAUGCGUUAGACAAUUAAAGUACCUUACCAGAAAUAUGGACCUUAACGCACUCGAAACUUGCAUGGGCGACAAAGAGAUAGAUAGUGAACUAUGGAAAUUAGGUUUUAUGGUAUCGAGUAUGGCGGAGGAAGUAAAAAAAUGUUCCCUACCGUACUCACCAAGAGUACUCAACUGCAUUGAACAAGUGUUGUCCAAGGUUGAAUUCGAGUCUUCAAGGAUACUGAAAAAAGUAAAUCUUCAGCUGAAGUUGGUUUUCUACGAAGGACUAAUAUGUGUCAACAGAAUCGCGAGUAAUUUACAGGACAAAUUGUGUAAACUCAGCAAAGAUUUCGAUAAGUGUGUAGUGAGGAAAAAAUGCAAGGUCAAUCAAUCAAAAUAAUUCAAUUUGCCGGUUACUUGGAAAGACGGUGCAAGAUGAGAAAAACGUUAUGUUUUGUCUAACAUGUGGGGGUCAGGAGGCGAAGUAGUCCGUCGCUUGGGCAGUAGUGCAGAAAAUUAUUUAAGACGCUGUCGUAAAUAAAAUUACAAGUGUGUUUCGAAUAGGCGCGAUAAGGAUUAUAAGGCUUUGUUUCCAGUUCAAUUCUAUAAAUAGUUUUGUAUUUUUCUCUUACAAUCCGCUCUUCAAAAAUUUAGCUUUUCAACAUAUCAUUUUAUUAUAUCCCACAAUUGUAUAAUUUAUAUUAACAAUGCAUUUUGAAGC